This 207-nucleotide ribosomal RNA is filed under the name uncultured bacterium. RNAcentral describes it as "partial 16S ribosomal RNA". It matches the Rfam family "Bacterial small subunit ribosomal RNA", at positions 568 to 774 of the family's 1533-position model. The record is from RNAcentral.
CGUGUAGGCGGUUAGGCAAGUCAGAUGUGAAAUCCCUUGGCUCAACCAAGGAAGUGCAUUUGAAACUGCUUAACUAGAGUACAGGAGGGGAAAGUGGAAUUCCCAGUGUAGAGGUGAAAUUCAUAGAUAUUGGGAGGAACACCGGUAGCGAAGGCGGCUUUCUGGCCUGAUACUGACGCUGAGACGCGAAGGCGUGGGGAGCAAACA